Molecule: ribosomal RNA, 774 nt
Filed under: uncultured Neocallimastigales
Lineage: Eukaryota; Fungi; Neocallimastigomycota; Neocallimastigomycetes; Neocallimastigales
Description: partial large subunit ribosomal RNA
Rfam family: Eukaryotic large subunit ribosomal RNA
Source: RNAcentral
CGCAUCUGUGCAUGCAGCAUAUCAAUAAGCGGAGGAAAAGAAACUAACAAGGAUUCCCCUAGUAACGGCGAGUGAAGCGGGAAGAGCUCAAAUUUGAAAUCUUAAAGGGUUUCCCUUUACGAAUUGUAGUUUAAAGAAGUGUUUUCUGUUGAGGUUUUGGUAAAAGUUCUUUGGAAUAGGACAUCAUAGAGGGUGAGAAUCCCGUAUUUGACCUUUACUUUCAACUUUGUGAUACACUUUCAAAGAGUCGGAUUGUUUGGGAAUGCAGUCCAAAAUGGGUGGUAAAUUUCAUCUAAAGCUAAAUAUUGGCGAGAGACCGAUAGCGAACAAGUACCGUGAGGGAAAGAUGAAAAGAACUUUGAGAAGAGAGUUAAACAGUACGUGAAAUUGUCAAAAGGGAAGCGUUUGACACCAGUGUUGUUUUUCUGAAAAUCAAUUAAAGAACUGUUUAUGCUAAGCUGUUUAGACUUUAUCAGCUAUCUGUUUAGUUUUGAGCUUUUCUUUAAUGCACUUUUCAGUUAACAAGUCAACAUCAAUUUCUUUUGCUGUAAAAAAGCUUGAGGAAGGUGGCUUGAGAUUCGUCUUAAGUGUUUAUAGCCUCUUGCCUAUGCAGUCGGAGAGAUUGAGGUCUGCAGCGUAGAUCCUUCGGGGCUAAAUGCAUUUGUGCUAAGUUAUAGCAUUUUAUAGACAACUUGUUGACUAUGAUUUGUCUUGUAGCUUACUCGCUUAUGUUAUUUUACCUACGCUUAGGAUGUUGAAUCUGUGCGAGACUAC